This 20-nucleotide microRNA is filed under the name Corchorus olitorius. RNAcentral's name for it is "cin-miR-4077a-". The record is from RNAcentral. Lineage: Eukaryota; Viridiplantae; Streptophyta; Magnoliopsida; Malvales; Malvaceae.
AAGUUUGAAAUGGAUUGACU